GACGAACGCUGGCGGCGUGCUUAACACAUGCAAGUCGAACGGUAAGGCCCUUCGGGGUACACGAGUGGCGAACGGGUGGGUAACACGUGGGUGAUCUGCCCAGCACUUCGGGAUUAGCCUGGGAAACUGGGUCUAAUACCGGGUAGGACCACUGCCUGCAUGGGUGGUGGUGGAAAGCUAUUGCGGUGUGGGAUGGGCCCGCGGCCUAUCAGCUUGUUGGUGGGGUGAUGGCCUACCAAGGCGACGACGGGUAGCCGGCCUGAGAGGGUGACCGGCCACACUGGGACUGAGAUACGGCCCAGACUCCGACGGGAGGCAGCAGUGGGGAAUAUUGCACAAUGGGCGCAAGCCUGAUGCAGCGACGCCGCGUGAGGGAUGACGGCCUUCGGGUUGUAAACCUCUUUCAGCACCGACGAAGCGCAAGUGACGGUAGGUGCAGAAGAAGGACCGGCCAACUACGUGCCAGCCGCCGCCGUAA
This 478-nucleotide ribosomal RNA is filed under the name uncultured bacterium. RNAcentral describes it as "partial 16S ribosomal RNA". It matches the Rfam family "Bacterial small subunit ribosomal RNA", at positions 28 to 523 of the family's 1533-position model. The record is from RNAcentral.